AGCAGUGAGCCUCUCCUAACUGUUAACGUUUUGAACGGUAUAAAUACAGGUUUGGUGUUUUAAAAUUACAGUAAAAGUGGUUUCUAACUGAUACAGAAUUUAAACAUGAACCAAAGCGCAAAAUAUUUGUGCAGCAUAGUUAAGCCCUUAUUGUUGGCUAGGAAUUAGGCACGGUGCUAUCGCUAAUGCUAACUUUUAGCCAAGUUGACUGACAGAAGAACGACUAAUUAACCAAUCUUUGGCUAGCUUUAAUCUUUAUACUGGAUAGGUUGGAACUGACAGUCAGGCUAGUUUGUUGUUGAAUGUGUAUGUAGGCUAAGUUAUAAACCAAAGGUUACACACACUAAACAAACUUUAUCAUAAACAAUCUUUAUUUAUGAGUGAGCUUGAAUUAAACCUUGAUUAACACAUUCCCUUUGAUCAUAUGAUGCUGCUAAUAUUUAACAGUAGUGAUCAACUUGUGUAAUGCAGGCACUACAGUAUAGAUGCUUUAUCUUAGGUAUUCAUAUAUUUAUUUUAUAUUUAUUCUUUGACAUUUCCAGCUGCAACUCACAGCCAGAUGACCUAUUAGAGCAGAAUUUUUCCAUUUACUGCAUUGUUUUGUUUUGUUUGUAGGCCUGCUGGUUUGAACCCACUGUCAGGUUACACACACACUGACACAGAUGACACUAACAUAUUGGUUCCUCUCUUAGACAAAGAGAACAUCAAUCCAGCCGUGCGCUUUGGUUGCAGUGUCCUGUCCAUCUACUCUCCUCUAUCAAAGUGGCUCUCUUGUCUCGGGAAUUUUGAAAACUUUGCUGAGUGUAAACAAGUGUAAAAGUAAUACCACUGCACACACUGUAUUCAUUCUCCCUGAUUCACAUAAAAUUGUACCUAAACUAUAAGCAUUCGCAUUGUUUGAAUCAAUAAGUGUAUAUAUAAGUGCUUUGGUUGUUUAAACCUUUUAUAUACUGUAAUAAAUCAACCAUCAGCUGUAAGGAGAAA
Long non-coding RNA from Siniperca chuatsi (mandarin fish), 984 nucleotides. RefSeq lists it as uncharacterized. Lineage: Eukaryota; Metazoa; Chordata; Actinopteri; Centrarchiformes; Sinipercidae. The transcript is spliced from 3 exons. The record is from RefSeq and is a predicted model, not a curated record.